UACGGAGGGUGCGAGCGUUAUCCGGAAUUAUUGGGCGUAAAGCGUCCGUAGGUGGCUAGUCAAGUCUGCGGUCAAAGACUGGGGCUUAACCCUGGAAAGGCCGUGGAAACUGACGAGCUAGAGUGCAGUAGGGGUAGAGGGAAUUCCCGGUGUAGCGGUGAAAUGCGUAGAGCUCGGGAAGAACAUCGGUGGCGAAAGCGCUCUACUGGACUGCAACUGACACUCAGGGACGAAAGCUAGGGGAGCGAAUGGG
Molecule: ribosomal RNA, 253 nt
Filed under: uncultured bacterium
Lineage: Bacteria
Description: partial 16S ribosomal RNA
Rfam family: Bacterial small subunit ribosomal RNA
Source: RNAcentral